RNAcentral lists this transfer RNA (72 nucleotides) under Ictidomys tridecemlineatus (thirteen-lined ground squirrel). Its description in RNAcentral is "Spermophilus tridecemlineatus (thirteen-lined ground squirrel) tRNA". It matches the Rfam family "tRNA". Rfam says of the family: Transfer RNA (tRNA) molecules are approximately 80 nucleotides in length. Their secondary structure includes four short double-helical elements and three loops (D, anti-codon, and T loops). Lineage: Eukaryota; Metazoa; Chordata; Mammalia; Rodentia; Sciuridae. The record is from Rfam by way of RNAcentral.
GGGGAUAUAGCUCAGUGGUAGAGCACUUGUCUAGCAUGUACCAGGACCUGGGUUUGAUCCACAGUAUCACAA